RNAcentral lists this ribosomal RNA (492 nucleotides) under uncultured bacterium. RNAcentral describes it as "partial 16S ribosomal RNA". It matches the Rfam family "Bacterial small subunit ribosomal RNA", at positions 29 to 507 of the family's 1533-position model. The record is from RNAcentral.
AGUGAACGCUGGCGGUAGGCCUAACACAUGCAAGUCGAACGGCCGCACAGUAAGAGCUUGCUCUUACGGGUGGCGAGUGGCGGACGGGUGAGGAAUACACCGGAAUCUACUUUUUCGUGGGGGAUAACGUAGGGAAACUUCCGCUAAUACCGCAUACGACCUACGGGUGAAAGCAGGGGAUCUUCGGACCUUGCGCGAUUGAAUGAGCCGAUGUCGGAUUAGCUAGUUGGCGGGGUAAAGGCCCACCAAGGCGACGAUCCGUAGCUGGUCUGAGAGGAUGAUCAGCCACACUGGAACUGAGACACGGUACAGACUCCUACGGGAGGCAGCAGUGGGGAAUAUUGGACAAUGGGCGCAAGCCUGAUCCAGCCAUACCGCGUGAGUGAAGAAGGCCUUCGGGUUGUAAAGCCCUUUUGUUGGGAAAGAAAAGAAGCAGGUUAAUACCCCGCUGUUCUGACGGUACCAAAAGAAUAAGCACCGGCUAAUUUCGUG